Molecule: non-coding RNA, 74 nt
Organism: Aedes aegypti (yellow fever mosquito)
Lineage: Eukaryota; Metazoa; Arthropoda; Insecta; Diptera; Culicidae
Source: Rfam
UGUUCUGUAGCUUAGUUGGUUAAAGCGCCAGUCUAGCGUACACGGAGUCGUGAGUUCGAGUCUCACUAGAACGC